GUGGGGAAUAUUGGGCAAUGGGGGCAACCCUGACCCAGCGACGCCGCGUGAGUGAAGAAGUAUUUCGGUAUGUAAAGCUCUAUCAGCAGGGAAGAUAAUGACAGUACCUGACUAAGAAGCCCCGGCUAACUACGUGCCAGCAGCCGCGGUAAUACGUAGGGGGCAAGCGUUAUCCGGAUUUACUGGGUGUAAAGGGAGCGUAGACGGAAUGGCAAGUCUGAAGUGAAAUCCUGCGGCUUAACUGCAGAAUUGCUUUGGAAACUGUCAAUCUGGAGUGUUGGAGAGGUAAGCGGAAUUCCUGGUGUAGCGGUGAAAUGCGUAGAUAUCAGGAAGAACACCGGAGGCGAAGGCGGCUUACUGGACAAUAACUGACGUUGAGGCUCGAAAGCGUGGGAAGCAAACAGGAUUAGAAACCCGGGUAGUCC
RNAcentral lists this ribosomal RNA (425 nucleotides) under uncultured bacterium. Its description in RNAcentral is "partial 16S ribosomal RNA". It matches the Rfam family "Bacterial small subunit ribosomal RNA", at positions 354 to 796 of the family's 1533-position model. The record is from RNAcentral.